RNAcentral lists this ribosomal RNA (1576 nucleotides) under metagenome. Its description in RNAcentral is "bacterial LSU rRNA". It matches the Rfam family "Bacterial large subunit ribosomal RNA", at positions 1267 to 2925 of the family's 2925-position model. The record is from RNAcentral.
GCGGCUGUGGAGUGUAUAGAAGUGAGAAUGCCGGAAUGAGUAGCGCGAAUGCAGUGAGAAUCUGCAUGGCCGAAAGCCUCAGGUUUCUGGAGGAAGGUUCGUCCGCUCCAGGUUAGUCGGGAGCUAAGGUGAGGCCUAACGGCGUAGCCGAUGCACAGACGGUAGAGAUUCCGUCACCACCAAAAGAGUUAAGCACAGGGACACAUUUGAAGUCUCGGAGCCGGGUGUUGGUUCCGGUAGCGAUCGAGGGAAGUUAGUACCGAAGUCCGGGAUGGAAGAUGGCGAGAAAAGCUGUGUGUAUUUCUGCGGUGCCCGUACCGCAAACCGACACAGGUAGGUAGGAAGAAGAUUCUAAGGCCAACGGGAGAAGGGUUGUUAAGGAACUCGGCAAAUUGACCCCGUAACUUCGGGAGAAGGGGUGCUCUAGAGAUAGAGCCGCAGAGAAUCGGCCCAAGCAACUGUUUACCAAAAACACAGGUUUGUGCUAAAUCGAAAGAUGACGUAUACGAGCUGACGCCUGCCCGGUGCUGGAAGGUUAAGAGGAGAUGUGCAAGCAUUGAAUCGAAGCCCCAGUGAACGGCGGCCGUAACAAUAACGGUCCUAAGGUAGCGAAAUUCCUUGUCAGGUAAGUUCUGACCCGCAUGAAAGGCGUAAUGAUUUGGGCACUGUCUCGACAGCCCGCCCGGCGAAAUUGUAGUACCGGUGAAGAUGCCGGUUACCCGCGACAAGACGGAAAGACCCCAUGGAGCUUUACUGUAGCCUAAUAUUGGGUUUCGAUGUUGCAUGCACAGGAUAGAUGGGACACUGGGAAGCAAGUGCUUUGGCAUUUGUGGAGUGGCCGUUGGGAUACCAUCCUUGCGAUAUUGGAAUUCUAACCUGCGCCUUUGAAUCAAGGCGGGGGACAUUGUUAGGUGGGCAGUUUGACUGGGGCGGUCGCCUCCUAAAGAGUAACGGAGGCGUUCAAAGGUUCGCUCAGCUUGAACGGAAAUCAAGCAAAAGAGUGCAAACGCAGAAGCGAGCCUAACUGCGAGACUGACGGGUCGAGCAGUAACGAAAGUUGGAGUUAGUGAUCCGGUGGUAUGUGAGUGGAAAUGCCAUCGCUCAACGGAUAAAAGUUACCCUGGGGAUAACAGGCUGAUCUCCCCCAAGAGUCCACAUCGACGGGGAGGUUUGGCACCUCGAUGUCGGCUCAUCGCAUCCUGGGGCUGUAUUCGGUCCCAAGGGUUUGGCUGUUCGCCAAUUAAAGCGGUACGCGAGCUGGGUUCAGAACGUCGUGAGACAGUUCGGUCCCUAUCUGUCGUGGGCGCAGGAUAUUUGAUGGGAGCUGUUCCUAGUACGAGAGGACCGGAGCGGACGUACCUCUGGCGCACCAGUUGUUCUGCCAAGGGCAUAGCUGGGCAACUAUGUACGGAUCGGAUAAACGCUGAAAGCAUCUAAGCGUGAAGCCGACCCAAAGAUAAGAUAUCCCAUUGUUCCAAACAAGUAAGACCCCUUGAAGACUACAAGGUUGAUAGGCAUGAUGUGUAAGUGGAGUGAUCCAUUCAGCAAGCAUGUACUAAUAGGUCGAGGGCUUGAC